Molecule: ribosomal RNA, 441 nt
Filed under: uncultured bacterium
Lineage: Bacteria
Description: partial 16S ribosomal RNA
Rfam family: Bacterial small subunit ribosomal RNA
Source: RNAcentral
CUACGGGUUGCACCAGCAGGGAAUAUUGCACAAUGGACGGAAGUCUGAUGCAGCGACGCCGCGUGGAUGAUGAAGGCCUUCGGGUUGUAAAAUCCUUUUCAGGGAGAAGAGGAAGGACGGUAUCCCUGGAAUAAGCGUCGGCUAACUACGUGCCAGCAGCCGCGGUAAUACGUAGGACGCGAAGCGUUAUCCGGAUUUACUGGGCGUAAAGCGUCUGUAGGCGGUUUAGUAAGUUUGAUGUGAAAGCUCCAGGCUCAACUUGGAGAGUGCAUUGAAUACUGCUAGACUUGAGGGGAUCAGAGGAAAGCGGAAUUUCCGGUGUAGCGGUAAAAUGCGCAGAUAUCGGAAAGAACACCAGUGGCGAAGGCGGCUUUCUGGGAUCAACCUGACGCUGAGAGACGAAAGCUAGGGUAGCGAACAGGAUUAGAUACCCGAGUAGUC